Carica papaya (papaya) is the source of this 355-nucleotide non-coding RNA. The record is from RefSeq and is a predicted model, not a curated record. NCBI's taxonomy places the organism in Eukaryota, Viridiplantae, Streptophyta, Magnoliopsida, Brassicales, Caricaceae.
CAGCCGAAGCGCGAAGAGAUUUUUGCGGUUGUUAUGAUUGGAUCUCGCCAAUAUGUCGUUUUCCCUGGUCGGUAUAUCCAUACUCAGAGGUUGAAAGGUGCAAAUGUGAAUGAUAAGCGACAAAGUGGUCUAACGAUGGAAAUGCUGCAGUCUAGUGAUGCGAGGCCAAACUUUCAAGUCAAGAUAUUUGUUUCUUCACAGAAAUAUCACAUUUUGUCAACUCUUAGCUUCAGGGUAAUCAAAAUUUCAGUUCUAUGCUAUAAUACAAAUAUGAUAAAGAUUUGAAUUUCUCUAGAAAAAAUAAAGAUUUGAAUAAAAAUGGUAUUCUAAUUCCAAAUUUCCAAACUAAUUCUGU